This 253-nucleotide ribosomal RNA is filed under the name uncultured bacterium. Its description in RNAcentral is "partial 16S ribosomal RNA". It matches the Rfam family "Bacterial small subunit ribosomal RNA", at positions 524 to 776 of the family's 1533-position model. The record is from RNAcentral.
UACAGAGGUCCCGAGCGUCGUUCGGAUUCAUUGGGCGUAAAGGGUGCGUAGGUGGCGCUGUAAGUGGGGUGUGAAAUCCCGGGGCUUAACUCCGGAACUGCAUUCCAUACUGCGGUGCUUGAGGACUGGAGAGGAGACUGGAAUUUACGGUGUAGCAGUGAAAUGCGUAGAGAUCGUAAGGAAGACCAGUGGCGAAGGCGGGUCUCUGGACAGUUCCUGACACUGAGGCACGAAGGCCAGGGGAGCAAACGGG